CAAGAGAACGCGCCAAAGUUGAAAUAGCUCAUCUGCGACCAGCCAAUAACAUGCCAGGUGGGUAUCUGAAGCAACAGUUACUGUUUAAGUCUUUUCUCUGGAUGGGAAUUAAUUCUCUUUCGCUGAGAGAAUCCAAUUAAUAUUAUUCUGCCAAUUUAAGGAAGUAAAUUUUACAAGGAAGCAAAUCUUGCAUUUAGGUGGGAAAGACUUUGUCCAAAGAGACUUGAGAAUUCUCUUGAGGACCAGGCCCUAGACCGGCGGUUCUUAGCUUAUUUUGUGUGAGAAUGCAUUCGACAAUAUUGGUGGCAACUGUGGUGUCUGAUUCCGGGGGGAAAAAACGUAUGUGUCCAUCUGUGCCACGUUUUGUCAUAUAUCUGUUUACUUUUGAAAGCUUUCAGGGUCGUGGCUGGGGUUGAAGGUUUAAAUCAAAAUGUCCCCUUGUGUUUUGGCUUGCAGAAUGUUCUUUGGCCCCCGACGUGGGGGGGGGGGGGGGUGUUGUUUCGCUGGUGCUCCAGACGCCCCUACGGUUUCUUCGGAGCCUCGUCUACACCUGCGACACUAAGGUUUGUGAAGUCACUCGAGUCUCAUGAAGGAUUUAGUUGCACUGUGUUGCCGUGAACGCUUGGAUUUGGACGCAAGGCUCACGACUGCCUUCUGGAUUUUCCAUGGUAGGGUGAAAAAAAAAAAUGCGCGACACACAUCACCAAGAAUCCAUGUCUGUGCCUGGCAGUGUAAUCGAGAAAAGCUUUGGAAUGCGAGUGGACGGCAUUAUGAAUAGCUUUCCUUAGCGCACCUGCAGAAAGGCACUACCUUUAGACACACCUUUGCCAAGCGCGUGUGCGUAAGGCACAGUGUUAGACGGAUGUGACAAAUGGGUGGGUGAUGCCUUUGGAGAAGAUUCUCCCAGGACUCUGAUGGGCUGAGGUUUAGAGAUGCCCAUACAGCCUCCGGGCGCUAAGAAGAUUACAGCCGGGGCCCGAUAUCAGCCCAUGAAAUAUUUUCAUCAUCAGGAUGAAGAAAAUUAUUUUGCACCGUUUCUGUUGUUCGGAAGUGGAAACAGUUUCGGGUGUGAAUCCCCCAAGGGACUUUCUGUGGCCUCCCUACCUCUUUUUUUUAAAUUUUUUUUUUCAACGUUUUAUUUAUUUUUGGGACAGAGAGAGACAG
This 1164-nucleotide long non-coding RNA is filed under the name Lynx pardinus (Iberian lynx). Lineage: Eukaryota; Metazoa; Chordata; Mammalia; Carnivora; Felidae. The record is from RNAcentral.